RNAcentral lists this unclassified non-coding RNA (18 nucleotides) under Mus musculus (house mouse). Its description in RNAcentral is "oocyte_clustered_small_RNA1392". Lineage: Eukaryota; Metazoa; Chordata; Mammalia; Rodentia; Muridae. The record is from RNAcentral.
UGGUGGAGCGCUGGAUGU